This 235-nucleotide long non-coding RNA is filed under the name Volvox carteri. RNAcentral describes it as "long non-coding RNA (VCAR_LNC003825)". Lineage: Eukaryota; Viridiplantae; Chlorophyta; Chlorophyceae; Chlamydomonadales; Volvocaceae. The record is from RNAcentral.
CCGACUGGCGGAGGGCGCCCACGACGGUGGCCAGAUGAUCAAACACUUCGUCCGCUGCUUGUCCGUCAGACUCGUGUGCCCUCAGGGACGCGUGGUGUACUACCGACGCCCUGGGGGAGACGUAGCAUGCACCCACCAGGGUGCUAUCCCGACCUGUUUGCUUGGCGCCCAAACGCAACCAAAUAGACUCGCAGCCCGCAAUAUCCGUGUCAACCCUCAACAAAGUGACAUCCCG